This 500-nucleotide ribosomal RNA is filed under the name uncultured bacterium. RNAcentral's name for it is "partial 16S ribosomal RNA". It matches the Rfam family "Bacterial small subunit ribosomal RNA", at positions 30 to 523 of the family's 1533-position model. The record is from RNAcentral.
AUUGAACGCUGGCGGAAUGCUUUACAAAUGCACGUCGAACGGCAGCACGGACUUCGGUCUGGUGGCGAGUGGCGAACGGGUGAGUAAUGUAUCGGAACGUGCCCAGUCGUGGGGGAUAACGUAGUGAAAACCACGCUAAUACCGCAUACGAUCUAUUGAUGAAAGCGGAGGAUCGCAAGACCCCGCACGACUGGAGCGGCCGAUAUCAGAUUAGGUAGUGGGUGGGGUAAAGGUCCACCAAUCCAACGAUCUGUAUCUGGUCUGAGAGGUCGACCAGCCACACUGGAACUGAGACACGGUCCAGACUCCUACGGGAGGCAGCAGGGGGAAAUUUUGGACAAUGGGCGAAAGCCUGAUCCAGCCAUUCCGCGUGCAGGAUGAAGGCCCUCGGGUUGUAAACUGCUUUUGUACAGAACGAAAAGGUUUCUACUAAUACUAGGAGCUCAUGACGGUACUGUAAGUAUAAGCACCGGCUAACUACGUGCCAGCCGCCGCCGUAA